RNA transcript from Sphaerodactylus townsendi, 2280 nucleotides. It is a transcript of the gene named E3 ubiquitin-protein ligase TRIM7-like, with no coding region annotated. NCBI's taxonomy places the organism in Eukaryota, Metazoa, Chordata, Lepidosauria, Squamata, Sphaerodactylidae. The record is from RefSeq and is a predicted model, not a curated record. The transcript has 9 exons.
GACGCCCCCAUCCCUGGGUUUGUCUCGCAGUUUCUCUUUUCCUUUUGCAGCUGAGCUCAGCUCCGCCCCCGAGCAGGAAGGGAAACGCCGGGAGAGGCGGCCAAACCAGAACUGACUCUCUUGCUCCGUCUUUCCUUCCCAGAGGCAGCAGCCAUGGCGGAGGGUGCCCAGAAGGAGCUCCGCGAGGAAGUUUCUUGCUCCGUCUGCCUGGGCUUCUUCAGGGACCCGGUGACCAUUGCUGGCUGCGGCCACGCUUUCUGCCGGGCCUGCCUGACCCACACCUGGGGGGCCUUAGAGGGGACAGAGGCUUCCUGCCCCCAAUGCAGAGGACCCGCGCAGGAGGGGACCCUCCGGCCCAACCACCAGCUGGCCAACAUUGCAGAAAUUAUCCAGAAGCUCAGCCCUUUGGAGGGGAGCUCCAAGAAGGGAGGCGGGCAGAAGCGAAAGAGGGGGGUCUGCGAGAAGCACCAGGAGCCCCUGAAGUUUCUCUGCCAGGAGGACGAGGCCCCCCUCUGCCUGGUCUGCAGCAGGUCCCAGGAGCACAAAGGUCACCAGGUGAGCCCUCUGGAGGAGGCCUCCCAAGAAAACACGGCAGUCGUGGCUGGUGGAAAAGGGAGAGUUUGCCAGGAGCACCUGGAGCCGCUGAAGCUCUUCUGCACGGAUCACAGAGCCCUCGUCUGUGUGGUCUGUGACCGAUCCAUGGAGCACAGUGAUCAUGAGAUCCUUCCUCUUGACGAGGCCUCCCAAGACUACAAGGAUUACUUCUGCUGCUUUCUGGAGGGGCUGAAGAAGGAGAGAGAAAGAAUUGUGGUGUGCAGAGCAGAUGUAGAGGAGCAAAGCCAAGACCUGCUUAAGCGAGUGACGGGACAGAAGCAAGAGACGGUCACCAAGUUCAGAGAACUGCGCUCACUUCUGGAGGAACAAGAGAAACGUUUUCUGGCUCACAUGGAAGAGGUGGAGGAGGAGGUGGCAAGAAAAAGGGACCAGUACCUGGCCAAAUUCUCUGAGGCGCUCUCCUCUCUGGACAGCCGCGCACAGGAGAUUGAGGAGAUGUGUCAACAGCCGGCCAGUGAACUCCUGCAGGAUGCCAGAAGCUUCUUCGAGGGGAAUGAAGAAAAAAAGAAAAUCAAGAAUCCAGUGCCUUUUCCAUUUUCACUGAAGUGGCAGAUCUGGGACCUCUCAAAUCUAAAUCCCCUUUUGGAGGGUAUUGUGAAGCAAUUCAAAGACACUCUGGAUUCUGGACUUCCCCUGCACAAAGCAAAUGUGACUCUGGAUCCAGACACGGCCCAACCGGAACUUAUCCUAUCUGAAGAUCAGAAAAGCGUGAGGGAUGGAGAAAAACCUCAGAUUCUUCCAGACAAUCCUGAGAGAUUUGAUGUUUAUGGUGCUGUGCUGGGCCGUGAGGGGUUCACAGGAGGCCGCCAUUUCUGGGAAGUCCUUGUGGGAAGUGAGGAACAAUGGGCUGUGGGGGUGGCCAGAAAGUCUGUGAGGAGGAAGGGAGACAUUACUUUUAGUCCUGAGGAAGGGAUCUGGGAGGUGGGGAAGUGGGAAGGGCACUAUAGGGCUUUCAUAGAAGAUUAUUACCCUCCUCUGACCCUGAGUGGGGAGCCCAAGAGGAUCCGAGUCUGUCUGAACUAUGAUGAGGGUCGAGUGGCCUUUUUCGACGCUGAUCGAAGAGCCCUCAUCUUUGAGUUCUCUGGAGCCUCCUUCUCUGGAGAGACCCUCCUGCCCUUCUUUUGGGUACGCAAAAAAGGCCAGCUCAAACUCUUUUAAGACCUUCUCUUCACACCAGCAGCAUCAAGAAGAUAAUAUUUUUUCUCAUAAUAUUUUUUCUCCCCCCCUUUAGUUCUUUAAAGGUCUCUCCAGGCUCCCAGCCACCAAAUCUGACUGAAAUAAAAUAGGGACAUUCCCCCCCCUUCAUCUGAAAAUAACAGCAACAUAUUUCACUUUAUAAAGAAUAGCCAGCUGAUUGUCAAGCAGAUCUCUGAAUAGACACCCCCUCAGCCUCCUCCAGCCCCCAUUCCUCUCAGGCACGAGAGGAACAACUGAAAAGAUCCCACAGAGGAAAAUGAGGCCUUGCCAGUUUAAGUUAAUAUUCUGGACUUCCUCUUUUCUUUGGUUUAUGGGGCACCAUCUUCUAGGAUUUGCCUCUUUUCAGCAUCGCCUUCCUGAAGGGCUCUGAAGAUCCUUUCCCUGUCAAGGUUGCUACAAUCAGCACAGUUGUGUUGCAGAUACCAGUAGCUGGAAAUAUGCUUAUAAUAAAUUGUGUUACCUUGAAAA